Parus major (Great Tit) is the source of this 240-nucleotide long non-coding RNA. RefSeq lists it as uncharacterized. The record is from RefSeq and is a predicted model, not a curated record. NCBI's taxonomy places the organism in Eukaryota, Metazoa, Chordata, Aves, Passeriformes, Paridae. The transcript is spliced from 3 exons.
CUCCCAUGAUCCCAAAAUUGCCUGGUCCACGACGCCCCAAAUUUGUGUUUUUGGAAGGUAGGAAAGGGGUGGACACCCAGCUUCCUCCUCCUUGAGCCCCAAACUGCCCCAAAUUUGUGUUUUUGGAAGGUUGGAAAGGGGUGGGCACCCAGCUCCCACCUCCCUGACCCCAAACUGCCCCAAAUUUGUGUUUUUGGAAGGUAGGAAAGGGGUGGGCACCCGGCUCCCACCUCCCUGACC